CUUCACCGAGCCCAACAGCAGGGGCCGACCCUCCGGCCGGUCCUGGCCAUAGGUGGCCAGCAGUGCCUGGGCUUC
Molecule: antisense RNA, 75 nt
Filed under: Kitasatospora viridis
Lineage: Bacteria; Bacillati; Actinomycetota; Actinomycetes; Kitasatosporales; Streptomycetaceae
Description: ASpks TB sRNA
Rfam family: ASpks TB sRNA
Source: Rfam by way of RNAcentral